AUUAUUUAUCCUUGUUUACCAUUUGACAAUAUUUUGUUGUGCAUGCAGGGAAGAAGCACAUAUCUUGGUGCAGCCCCCAUUGUACAUUGCUUGGAAAUCAGCAGAUUCUGUAGUGUACCCAUAAUAGAACUUAGCAUUAACAUAUUGUUGCUGAUUUGCCUCGAUACAUAUAUAUUUUCCUGGUCAUUUCACUGUAAUGAGUAUUGAUAACUUGCAUAUUAUUUAUCACUGUAAUGAGUAUUGAUAGCUUACAUAACUUGGUGCAGCCCCCAUUGCACAUUGCUCGGAAAUUGCAACUUAAGGAGCAGCGUAUCAAUAAUGAUGGACCUGCUGGUAUCUCGGAUGUUUGCCAAUGAUAGCAUGGUGAGAUUCAUUCUGUAAGCACAUGUAUGCACAAUUGCUAGGAGCAGCGAAUGAACUCAUGAAAGCUCAUUACCUUGAUUAGGUAAAACUGUUAUGAUUAGGUAAAACUGUUAUGAUUUUGUAUUGUACAUAUCAUUCCUGAUCUUGGACAAAGUGCUAGCUCCAUAGAGCCUCUCCUUUUCGAUGUGUCAUGGUGUCCAUCUCCAGGCUAGCUCCAAACUUCUGCCCACAUAAUUCCCAUGGUGUCUAAGAAAAUCAUAGGGAAGAGGCUCUGGGAGAGGGGGUUUGGUUUUACUUUUCUGGUUUUGCAACACGAUGUGACAAAUUUGUACUGCACGAAUGGCUUCAUUCCUUCAUUUACCAUAUGCAAAUCUUGGUCUUCAAUUUGUUUGGUUUCCUAUGAGUGACUGGAGAUUAUUGUGAUGCUAUAUAAGCCUACAUCGUAGAGUGAAUCAGAUAUGUGCUAAGUAAGUGUGAUAAGCAGGCCCUGCACUUCUCUUUAAUAUUAAACGUCGGCUAAAUUUCUGAUAAUGGAAUUUCAGAGAUAAUGCAGCCAAUCCAACUGUUAACUUUGGUGUGCUUUUUGGAUGGACUAAUAUGAAGACGAUGGCUAGCUCGCAUUGCCAUCAUAUAGUCUAGAAGAAAGGGCAAGGAUUAUAGGAAAAAUAAAGGUACAAUGCUCACAAUAUAUUUUACCUUUUUGGCGAAGUUUUGGUGCUUGCGCAAGAAAAUAACACCAUCAUUAUACCUAUUGCUCAUUUUUUAUUCAGGCAAUUAGCCAUCAGUAGGAAAUGCCAACUAAUUGUACUUUCUUUGUUACAGAGGUGAAAUUACUACUACUUUUUGAAAGCUUUUUUUGUUGCAUGUUCCCCUUUCUUAAUCUUCUGUUUGUUCAAAUGUACAUACAUGUCCUUACACAAUGAAUCUCACCAUGCUAUCAUUUCCUGAAUAAGCUGAGGAUAUAUGUUUUCAAAGCCUCUGUUACGAGUGAAAUGCGGCAAUGGAAGCAAGGAGUCACGGCUUACUUCUAUUCGGAUUCCAUCUCUACUAGGACAAUCCUGAUAUCCUUCUCACCAUUUAUAUUUGAUUCCUUGGAGAUUCAUAAAGAAGGAAUGCAUCCAUGGUCUUGGUAUAAAUUUGUUUGGAUGGUUCAGAAUCUUCAGAUGGCAUGGAUGAGACAUAAUUUGUUGUAUUCGGAUAUUUUUCAUGGUUAUAGUUUUUGAGGCUCGGGCUACCACAACCAGUCUAACAUGUGCGUCGGCUUGAGCAGGGUGGAUAUAGAUCACAGGUUGAAUUUCACCGUACAAAAAGCGUUUCCAUGCUUCAGCACGCCGGAUUAAGUUGUCAAGCCCUCUAUGUGAGGAUGGGGAAACAUCAAAGAACCAUGCAGCCGAUCUGGCCAUCGAAUGCAUGGAAAACAGCGAGUAGAAGGUGCUUGUUGACUAUAACCAUUAUCAGAUAGAGCAACAGAAAAAAUGCAUGUGCAAGGGUAGCUGUUAGAAAAAUCAGAAGAAAUAAAACAACACAACAAGACCAGCAAGCAAAUACCAACUUUACAUCCGGAUCAACAUCAAAAGACAACGAUGUAAAUCAUAUUUUGAGACAAGACAUGUUGAUGAUCGUCUUAGUGACACACUGACACAGUCAAAGUAUGAUCUCCAACAGACAAACAAGUGUUAUUGGAGCCUUGAUGGUGAUAUGGAAGGAAUCUCUUCUUUAGGCAAUGACAAACCACUUUUCAAUACCGAUGGCGCAUGCAAUGAUGACUCUGCUUGAUGAUUAUUGCUUUAUAACUGCAACCAUCUAUAUGCUGCAUCUCUUGCUAUAUACUUUGCUCAUUGUAAAUAAUCUAUCGUAGACUUAAACUACUAUGUAUCAUCAAUGGGUUGUCUUAGAACGCUAUAUGUCACCACAUGUUUCCAUUUGCUUAUGCUCAUCACAGACUUCCAACACUGUGUCAGUAUUGAGUUCUCUUAGAACAAUAUGUAUAAACACCAAAUUCCUA
Molecule: RNA transcript, 2368 nt
Organism: Hordeum vulgare subsp. vulgare (domesticated barley)
Lineage: Eukaryota; Viridiplantae; Streptophyta; Magnoliopsida; Poales; Poaceae
Exons: 4
Source: RefSeq, a predicted model, not a curated record